RNAcentral lists this ribosomal RNA (253 nucleotides) under uncultured bacterium. RNAcentral's name for it is "partial 16S ribosomal RNA". It matches the Rfam family "Bacterial small subunit ribosomal RNA", at positions 524 to 776 of the family's 1533-position model. The record is from RNAcentral.
UACGGGGGGGGCAAGCGUUGUUCGGAAUUACUGGGCGUAAAGGGCUCGUAGGCGGCCAACUAAGUCAGACGUGAAAUCCCCAGGCUCAACCUGGGAACUGCGUCUGAUACUGGAUGACUUGAAUCCGGGAGAGGGAUGCAGAAUUCCAGGUGUAGCGGUGAAAUGCGUAGAUAUCUGGAGGAAUACCGGUGGCGAAGGCGGCAUCCUGGACCGGCAUUGACGCUGAGGAGCGAAAGCCAGGGGAGCAAACGGG